UUGCCAAAAGCCUUCCAGCGUCUUGGGUCUAGUGAGACAGUACAUUCCUGCAGUGCUUGCUGGAGGGUCUGAAAUGGUUCGAGGUGGUGCCUUGGUUGGCCUUUUCUCAGAGCCUGGUCAUGGACAUUUCAGAUAGUU
Molecule: small nucleolar RNA, 138 nt
Filed under: Pteropus vampyrus (large flying fox)
Lineage: Eukaryota; Metazoa; Chordata; Mammalia; Chiroptera; Pteropodidae
Description: Small nucleolar RNA SNORA9 (ENSPVAG00000027906.1)
Source: RNAcentral